RNAcentral lists this ribosomal RNA (425 nucleotides) under uncultured bacterium. RNAcentral describes it as "bacterial SSU rRNA". It matches the Rfam family "Bacterial small subunit ribosomal RNA", at positions 356 to 771 of the family's 1533-position model. The record is from RNAcentral.
GGGGAAUUGUUCGCAAUGGGCGCAAGCCUGACGACGCAACGCCGCGUGGAGGAUGAAGAUCUUCGGGUCGUAAACUCCUUUCGAUCGAGACGCAUGGCCUCCGGGUGAACAAUCCGGAGGAAUGACGGUACCGAGAGACGAAGCCCCGGCUAACUCCGUGCCAGCAGCCGCGGGAAUACGGGGGGGGGCAAGCGUUGUUCGGAAUUACUGGGCGUAAAGGGCUCGUAGGCGGCCAACUAAGUCACACGUGAAAUCCCUCGGCUCAACCGGGGAACUGCGUGUGAUACUGGAUGGCUUGAGUCCGGGAGAGGGAUGCGGAAUUCCAGGUGUAGCGGUGAAAUGCGUAGAUAUCUGGAGGAACACCGGUGGCGAAGGCGGCAUCCUGGACCGGCACUGACGCUGAUGAGCGAAAGCCAGGGGAGCAA